GGGGGUGAAAUUGGCUUCGACGGGGUUAAUGGAGCAUCGGACUGCAUGUCGUGGUCACCGCAGAUAUGUCACGAUAAAAAGGCGGUAAAACAAUAUCUGGCGAAUCUAAUUACGCCUUAGCUGCUUAAUUAAAUAGCAGCUCGUUCUGCAGCAUCACUUCCGUCGGGUGUUGUAAGAGCGUCGUUUUGACGGAAUAGCCGAGUCGAGAUUACGGGCAGACAGAGCGAAAACACCCAACCGUAUUAACCCUGAAUAUCCUGUCUGACGGAGCUUCAGGGGGAGAAACAAUAGACAGACUAAAUAUGUAGAUGUUCGGUGAAACUUAAUUUCGGACGCGGGUUCAACUCCCGCCACCUCCACAA
This 362-nucleotide transfer-messenger RNA is filed under the name Ignavibacteriaceae. Its description in RNAcentral is "JABWCA01 sp013359345 Standard tmRNA". It matches the Rfam family "transfer-messenger RNA". Rfam says of the family: Bacterial tmRNA, also known as 10Sa RNA or SsrA, is named for its dual tRNA and mRNA-like properties. Its role is to liberate the mRNA from a stalled ribosome. RNAcentral also lists the same sequence under 1 other name. The record is from RNAcentral. Lineage: Bacteria; Pseudomonadati; Ignavibacteriota; Ignavibacteria; Ignavibacteriales.